RNAcentral lists this transfer RNA (73 nucleotides) under Planctomycetota bacterium. RNAcentral describes it as "Planctomycetes bacterium tRNA-Pro". It matches the Rfam family "tRNA". From Rfam's summary of the family: Transfer RNA (tRNA) molecules are approximately 80 nucleotides in length. The record is from RNAcentral. Lineage: Bacteria; Pseudomonadati; Planctomycetota.
UGGGAAGUAGGGUAGUGGCGAUCCCGCGUGUUUUGGGAACACGAGAUCGUGGGUUCGAGUCCCACCUUCCCAA